GGGCGUGUAGCUCAGCAGGAUAGAGCAAGGGAAUCCUAAUCCCUGUGGCGAGAGUUCAAGUCUUUCCACGCCCC
Molecule: transfer RNA, 74 nt
Filed under: Candidatus Bathyarchaeota archaeon
Lineage: Archaea; Thermoproteati; Candidatus Bathyarchaeota
Description: tRNA-Arg
Rfam family: tRNA
About the family: Transfer RNA (tRNA) molecules are approximately 80 nucleotides in length. Their secondary structure includes four short double-helical elements and three loops (D, anti-codon, and T loops). Further hydrogen bonds mediate the characteristic L-shaped molecular structure. tRNAs have two regions of fundamental functional importance: the anti-codon, which is responsible for specific mRNA codon recognition, and the 3' end, to which the tRNAs corresponding amino acid is attached (by aminoacyl-tRNA synthetases). tRNAs cope with the degeneracy of the genetic code in two manners: having more than one tRNA (with a specific anti-codon) for a particular amino acid; and 'wobble' base-pairing, i.e. permitting non-standard base-pairing at the 3rd anti-codon position.
Source: RNAcentral